Molecule: ribosomal RNA, 837 nt
Filed under: uncultured archaeon
Lineage: Archaea
Description: bacterial SSU rRNA
Rfam family: Archaeal small subunit ribosomal RNA
Source: RNAcentral
GGUUACUGCUAUCGGUGUUCGCCUAAGCCAUGCGAGUCAUAUGUUCUUCGGAACAUGGCGUACUGCUCAGUAACACGUGGAUAACCUGCCCUUGGGUCCGGCAUAACCCCGGGAAACUGGGGAUAAUUCCGGAUAACGCACAUAUGCUGGAAUGCUUUUUGCGUAAAAUGGAUUCGUCUGCCCAAGGAUGGGUCUGCGGCCUAUCAGGUAGUAGUGGGUGUAAUGUACCUACUAGCCUACGACGGGUACGGGUUGUGAGAGCAAGAGCCCGGAGAUGGAUUCUGAGACAUGAAUCCAGGCCCUACGGGGCGCAGCAGGCGCGAAAACUUUACAAUGCGGGAAACCGUGAUAAGGGGACACCGAGUGCCAGCAUCCUAUGCUGGCUGUCCGGGUGUGUAAAAUACACCUGUUAGCAAGGGCCGGGCAAGACCGGUGCCAGCCGCCGCGGUAACACCGGCGGCCCGAGUGGUGAUCGUGAUUAUUGGGUCUAAAGGGUCCGUAGCCGGUUUGGUCAGUCCUCCGGGAAAUCUGACAGCUCAACUGUUAGGCUAUCGGAGGAUACUGCCAGACUUGGAACCGGGAGAGGUAAGAGGUACUACAGGGGUAGGAGUGAAAUCUUGUAAUCCCUGUGGGACCACCUGUGGCGAAGGCGUCUUACCAGAACGGGUUCGACGGUGAGGGACGGAAGCUGGGGGCACGAACCGGAUUAGAUACCCGGGUAGUCCCAGCCGUAAACGAUGCUCGCUAGGUGUCAGGCAUGGCGCGACCGUGUCUGGUGCCGCAGGGAAGCCGUGAAGCGAGCCACCUGGGAAGUACGGCCGCAAGGCUGAAACUUAA